GACGAACGCUGGCGGCGUGCUUAACACAUGCAAGUCGAACGGAAAGGCCCCUUUGGGGGUACUCGAGUGGCGCACGGGUGAGUAACACGUGAGUAACCUGCCCUUGACUUCGGGAUAACUUCAGGAAACUGGGGCUAAUACCGGAUAGGAAUCCUUGCUGCAUGGUGGGGGUUGGAAAGCUUCGGCGGUUUUGGAUGGACUCGCGGCUUAUCAGCUUGUUGGUGGGGUAGUGGCUUACCAAGGCUUUGACGGGUAGCCGGCCUGAGAGGGCGACCGGCCACAUUGGGACUGAGAUACGGCCCAGACUCCUACGGGAGGCAGCAGUGGGGAAUAUUGCACAAUGGGCGGAAGCCUGAUGCAGCAACGCCGCGUGCGGGAUGACGGCCUUCAGGUUGUAAACCGCUUUCAGCAGGGGCGAAGCUUGUGGUGACGGUACCUGCAGAAGAAGCACCGGCUAACUACGUG
Molecule: ribosomal RNA, 465 nt
Filed under: uncultured bacterium
Lineage: Bacteria
Description: partial 16S ribosomal RNA
Rfam family: Bacterial small subunit ribosomal RNA
Source: RNAcentral